RNAcentral lists this ribosomal RNA (466 nucleotides) under uncultured bacterium. Its description in RNAcentral is "bacterial SSU rRNA". It matches the Rfam family "Bacterial small subunit ribosomal RNA", at positions 329 to 793 of the family's 1533-position model. The record is from RNAcentral.
GUCCAGACUCCUACGGGAGGCAGCAGUGAGGAAUAUUGGUCAAUGGCCGCAGGGCUGAACCAGCCAAGUCGCGUGAGGGAUGACGGUCCUAUGGAUUGUAAACCUCUUUUGUCAGGGAGCAAAGGGCGCCACGUGUGGCGUUUUGCGAGUACCUGAAGAAAAAGCAUCGGCCAACUCCGUGCCAGCAGCCGCGGUAAUACGGAGGAUGCGAGCGUUAUCCGGAUUUAUUGGGUUUAAAGGGUGCGCAGGCGGAAUGUCAAGUCAGCGGUAAAAUUUCGGGGCUCAACCCCGUCGUGCCGUUGAAACUGGCAGUCUCGAGUUGGAGAGAAGUAUGCGGAAUGCGCGGUGUAGCGGUGAAAUGCAUAGAUAUCACGCAGAACCCCGAUUGCGAAGGCAGCCUUCCGGCGCCCUACUGACGCUGAGGCACGAAAGUGCGGGGAUCGAACAGGAUUAGAUACCCUUGUAA